Molecule: long non-coding RNA, 1746 nt
Organism: Chenopodium quinoa (quinoa)
Lineage: Eukaryota; Viridiplantae; Streptophyta; Magnoliopsida; Caryophyllales; Amaranthaceae
Exons: 7
Source: RefSeq, a predicted model, not a curated record
UGCGCGUAGCUUUAGUCCACUUUCUCUCCUGAUUUCCUCCAUUGAGUUUUUUAGGCAUACUGUGAGAUUUCUAUCUCUUCCAUUGAAGUGUGCUCAAGUAUUCUCUCCUCCUAAAGCAUGCAAUGAAAUUCGGAUUUCGGAGGGCAUGCCAAUAACCAUCUUUUUCCAUUGUCUGGUGGUUCAUUGCAAUUUCCUUGCCGUUAAGAUUCUCCAUUGAAGCGGCUUUUGUUCUUUCUCCUCCAUUGAAGCAGAUUCAGUGGUAAUUGCGGCUUUAGUCUCAUUAUCGGUUCCUUUUAAUCGCGGCUUUCGGGAUUUCUCUCCUCCAUUUGAAACAAAUUUUGAGAUGGUCGUCGGGGUUUCCUUUUCUUCAACCAAUCCCGGCGGCUGACUCAAGUGCCCCCCGAACUGCACGAAAACCAUCAUCUCAGAAUGGAUGAGUGAAUUAUUGGGUUCGAAUUGAAAUUAGGUGCUUAUACCACUACUUAGACCCAACUAUAAUGUCGAAGUCUUCUUCCGCCACCUCAAGAGACAUCCAGUUGACUCCACUUUUGGGUUUAUUUACUUUCUGAAUGUCAAGUUGGGUGGAUUCCUUCGGUUGUGACAAGCUGCCUAGCAUAUGCACUCUUGAUAUGAGGUUUUCAUAUGGUUUUUGUUGACCCCGAGGAGGGGAUAUGGGCAUGGGAGCUCGAUGGAUUGAAGGAUCUGUAUACUUAUUUGCAUUUCGUUUGGGAAUUGAACAAUUUGCAGGUGCUUAUACCACUACUUAUACCCAACUACAAUGUUGAAGUCUUCUUCCGCCAUCUCAAAAGACACUCCAGUUGACUCCACUUUUGGGUUUGUAAGUCAAUGUCAUUUUCUUAACAAGCUAACAAAAAUGCAAUUGUAUAUUUAUAAUAUUGGCUAAUGAAGUGACUCUGGUCCUUUCUUAUGAUUGUUUCAUUUGUUGGCUUUAUUCGAUUUCUUAUGUUUAAUGCAGCUCUUUAAAAAUUUAGUAUGUGAGGUUUGUAGCCUUUAGACAAGAUGCUAAAAUUGUUUAACAUGGCUAUAUUGAAGUAUUGAUGGAGUAGUUUGCUUAUAUUUUAUAUUUUUCCUUCGCCAAAUUUACUUUUGGAAUGUCGAGUUGGGUGGAUUCCCUCAGUUGUGACAAGCUGCCUAGCAUGGGCACUCUUGAUAGGAGGUUUUCAUAUGGUUUUUAUCAACCCCGAGGAGGGGAUAUGUGCAUGGGGGCUCCGAUGAAUUGAAGGAAGCAAGUGCAGCAUAUUAACAGAGACGUCCGCAUUUGAGGACUAUACAGUCUGAAUACUGAACGAUAAACAGUUGCUGAUUUGUUGGAUUCUGGUUUUGUACUAUCUCAACUUUCUUAGUGGGGCAUAACAACCUUAUAUCCGGUUACUCUUUAUCCAACUUACUAACAAAAAACUGUGAAGCUAUAAAGUGUGCUUAGCAUCUCCAUUUUAUUUGACGAACCUUGUACCAAUGCACUUGUGUCUGCAUUCAGAGGAUGCGACUCCCAUCCCAAUAGCCAGUACUCAUAGAAAGGGAGGCAUUAAAGGAGGAGGCUGUGAAUGAUCUUGUUUCAAUACUGCUGCUAUUAAUGUUGUGCUUUACUGCUACCUAACCUUUAGCAUUUUUUUUAUUUUUUUAUUUUUUUUUUAUUUUUUAAUGAAAUUGUAAUAUUUUCAAUCAUUUAUUAAUAAAAAUCUCUAAGUUUAUACAUACUUAUAUAUAAAAUCGUUUGUUUAUCAA